CUCCUUUGACGUUAGCGGCGGACGGGUGAGUAACACGUGGGUAACCUACCUAUAAGACUGGGAUAACUUCGGGAAACCGGAGCUAAUACCGGAUAAUAUUUCGAACCGCAUGGUUCGAUAGUGAAAGGUGGUUUUGCUAUCACUUAUAGAUGGACCCGCGCCGUAUUAGCUAGUUGGUAAGGUAACGGCUUACCAAGGCGACGAUACGUAGCCGACCUGAGAGGGUGAUCGGCAACACUGGAACUGAGACACGGUCCAGACUCCUACGGGAGGCAGCAGUG
Molecule: ribosomal RNA, 281 nt
Filed under: uncultured Staphylococcus sp.
Lineage: Bacteria; Bacillati; Bacillota; Bacilli; Caryophanales; Staphylococcaceae
Description: partial 16S ribosomal RNA
Rfam family: Bacterial small subunit ribosomal RNA
Source: RNAcentral